Cercocebus atys (sooty mangabey) is the source of this 460-nucleotide long non-coding RNA. RefSeq lists it as uncharacterized. The record is from RefSeq and is a predicted model, not a curated record. NCBI's taxonomy places the organism in Eukaryota, Metazoa, Chordata, Mammalia, Primates, Cercopithecidae. The transcript has 3 exons.
GAUGGAGUGAGGCUGAGGGGUGUGAAUUCCAGCCUCCAUGCUUCUCAUGAAGCCUUUUCUCCACUGUGCAGAAUCUACCAGGAAGCAAGGUUCGACCACUCUAUACAGCAAGGUGGGUUUGCUCAGCCUCCUCUCUAUCCUGGAACAUCCCGGCACUUCAUAAAUUGCCUGUCACAAGAAACAUCAGUGUGAUUCCUGGCCUUUCUCUCUCCAUCACACCCUUCACAUGACUAACGGGACAAUCCCAUGCCUCUACUCUCAUAGAACAGCCACGGCGUGGCCACUUCUCAUCGUCUGCCAGUUCACUGAGAGCAGCUUUGUGUUUACUACUAAGUGUCUGGCUUAGAGCAGAUGCUCGAUAGCUCCUUCUCUGAGAAAGAAACACCUCUUCCUCUAACUUCUUCCUGGAAUUCAAACCAGAGAGUAUUUCUCAGGAAUUAUCAGUUGACUGAGUGGUGAG